This 253-nucleotide ribosomal RNA is filed under the name uncultured bacterium. RNAcentral describes it as "partial 16S ribosomal RNA". It matches the Rfam family "Bacterial small subunit ribosomal RNA", at positions 524 to 776 of the family's 1533-position model. The record is from RNAcentral.
UCCGGAGGGCGCAACCGUUGUUCGGAAUCACUGGGCGUAAAGCGCGUGCAGGCGGCUUGGUAAGUCGGGUGUGAAAUCCCGGAGCUCAACUCCGGAACUGCACCCGAUACUGCCUCGCUAGAGUCCCGGAGAGGAUGGCGGAAUUUCCGGUGUAGAGGUGAAAUUCGUAGAUAUCGGAAGGAACACCAGCGGCGAAGGCGGCCAUCUGGACGGUGACUGACGCUCAGACGCGAAAGCGCGGGGAGAAAACAGG